AACGAACGCUGGCGGCAUGCCUAACACAUGCAAGUCGAACGAGACCUUCGGGUCUAGUGGCGCACGGGUGCGUAACGCGUGGGAACCUGCCCUUAGGUUCGGAAUAACUCCCCGAAAGGGGUGCUAAUACCGGAUAAUGUCUUCGGACCAAAGAUUUAUCGCCUUUGGAUGGGCCCGCGUUGGAUUAGCUAGUUGGUAGGGUAAAAGCCUACCAAGGCGACGAUCCAUAGCUGGUCUGAGAGGAUGAUCAGCCACACUGGGACUGAGACACGGCCCAGACUCUUACGGGAGGCAGCAGUGGGGAAUAGUGGACAAUGGGCGAAAGCCUGAUCCAGCAAUGCCGCGUGAGUGAUGAAGGCCUUAGGGUUGUAAAGCUCUUUUAACCGGGAUGAUAAUGACAGUACCGGGAGAAUAAGCUCCGGCUAACUACGUG
Molecule: ribosomal RNA, 433 nt
Filed under: uncultured bacterium
Lineage: Bacteria
Description: partial 16S ribosomal RNA
Rfam family: Bacterial small subunit ribosomal RNA
Source: RNAcentral